CCCUACUGCUAUCGGGGUGGGACUAAGACAUGCGAGUUGUGCGUCUCUAAGCUAUGGUAGAGACGCAGCGUACGGCUCAGUAACACGUGGCUAACCUACCCUUAGGACGGGGACAACCCCGGGAAACUGGGGCUAAUACCCGAUAGGUAAGGAAUCCUGGAAUGGAUCUUUGCUGAAAGGGCGUCUAGACCAUGCUUCUUGACGUCGCCCAAGGAUGGAGCCGCGACCGAUCAGGUAGUUGGCGAGGCAACGGCUCACCAAGCCUAUAACCGGUACGGGCCGUGAGAGCGGGAGCCCGGAGAUGGGCACUGAGACAAGGGCCCAGGCCCUACGGGGCGCAGCAGUUGCGAAAACUCCGCAAUGCGCGAAAGCGUGACGGGGCUACCCCGAGUGCCGCCCGUUGAGGGCGGCUUUUCCGCGGUGUAAGGAGCCGUGGGAAUAAGGAGAGGGCAAGACUGGUGUCAGCCGCCGCGGUAAUACCAGCUCUCCGAGUGGUGGGGACGAUUAUUGGGCUUAAAGCGUUCGUAGCCGGCUUAACAAGUCUUCCGUUAAAUCCAACGAUCUAAUCGUUGGGCUGCGGGAGAUACUGUUGGGCUAGGAGGCGGGAGAAGCCGACGGUAUUCUCGGGGUAGGGGUGAAAUCCUGUAAUCCCGGGAGGACCACCAGUGGCGAAGGCGGUCGGCUAGAACGCGCUCGACGGUGAGGGACGAAAGCUGGGGGAGCGAACCGGAUUAGAAACCCGGGUAGUCCCAGCUGUAAACGAUGCGGGCUAGGUGUUGGGGUGGCCACGAGCCACUUCAGUGCCGCAUGGAAGCAAUUAAGCCCGCCGCCUGGGGAGUACGGCCGCAAGGCUGAAACUUAAAGGAAUUGGCGGGGGAGCACCACAAGGCGUGAAGCUUGCGGUUU
RNAcentral lists this ribosomal RNA (906 nucleotides) under uncultured archaeon. RNAcentral describes it as "bacterial SSU rRNA". It matches the Rfam family "Archaeal small subunit ribosomal RNA", at positions 21 to 903 of the family's 1478-position model. The record is from RNAcentral.